GAUGAACGCUGGCGGCGUGCCUAAUACAUGCAAGUCGAGCGAACAGACGAGGAGCUUGCUCCUCUGACGUUAGCGGCGGACGGGUGAGUAACACGUGGAUAACCUACCUAUAAGACUGGGAUAACUUCGGGAAACCGGAGCUAAUACCGGAUAAUAUAUUGAACCGCAUGGUUCAAUAGUGAAAGACGGUUUUGCUGUCACUUAUAGAUGGAUCCGCGCCGCAUUAGCUAGUUGGUAAGGUAACGGCUUACCAAGGCAACGAUGCGUAGCCGACCUGGGAGGGUGUUCGGCACACCUGAACUUAAGCACGGGCCCAACUCCCUCGGGGAGGAAGCAGUAGGGAACCUUCCGAAAGGGGCGAAAGCCUGACGGGGAAACGCCGCGUGAGUGAUGAAGGUCUUCGGACCGUAAACCUCUGUUAUUAGGGAAGAAAAAAUGUGUAAGUAACUAUGCACGUCUUGACGGUACCUAAUCAGAAAGCACGGCUAACUACGUG
Molecule: ribosomal RNA, 496 nt
Filed under: uncultured bacterium
Lineage: Bacteria
Description: partial 16S ribosomal RNA
Rfam family: Bacterial small subunit ribosomal RNA
Source: RNAcentral